Molecule: ribosomal RNA, 253 nt
Filed under: uncultured prokaryote
Description: partial 16S ribosomal RNA
Rfam family: Bacterial small subunit ribosomal RNA
Source: RNAcentral
UACGAAGGGGGCUAGCGUUGUUCGGAAUUACUGGGCGUAAAGCGAACGUAGGCGGUGUUCCAUGUCAGGUGUGAAAGCCCACGGCUUAACCGUGGAAGUGCAUUUGAAACUGUAAAGCUUGAGUAUGGGAGAGGAUGGUAGAAUUCCUGGUGUAGUGGUGAAAUACGUAGAUAUCAGGAGGAAUACCGGUGGCGAAGGCGGCCAUCUGGCCUAAUACUGACGCUGAGAUGCGAAAGUGCGGGGAUCAAACAGG